Herpailurus yagouaroundi (jaguarundi) is the source of this 335-nucleotide long non-coding RNA. RefSeq lists it as uncharacterized. NCBI's taxonomy places the organism in Eukaryota, Metazoa, Chordata, Mammalia, Carnivora, Felidae. The record is from RefSeq and is a predicted model, not a curated record. The transcript has 3 exons.
GCGAUUUAUUCUUUGGCCCACGGGAUACACAGAAGUGCUUUGCUUCAGAUGAAAUGUGAUGACGUCUGGAAUUUACUUCAAAAAAUAUAGAAGGAGAAGAACAGGUACUCCGGUUUUGUAGACUUGGAGGAGACAGACCAGGCAGAAGGCAGUCCAGCAUGCUCAGAACCACCAGGCGCCAAGAUCACAACCACCUCACGUGCAUUCCAACCUCAGGGCAAGAGUGUCCCGACAGGUGCAUGCUUUAUCCUAGGCUACGGGGAAGGAAAACGACUACCUACUCGGAGCCACUUCCGCCUUUGUUCACAACACCCAAAUAAACGCACAAGUCCUGG